GAUGGGAUGGCUGAAUAAGGCGAUAAACUGUAAAUUUAUUUAUGAAAUUUUUUCUCUCAUCA
RNAcentral lists this transfer RNA (62 nucleotides) under Suinzona borowieci. RNAcentral's name for it is "tRNA-Tyr". It matches the Rfam family "tRNA". From Rfam's summary of the family: Transfer RNA (tRNA) molecules are approximately 80 nucleotides in length. Their secondary structure includes four short double-helical elements and three loops (D, anti-codon, and T loops). Further hydrogen bonds mediate the characteristic L-shaped molecular structure. tRNAs have two regions of fundamental functional importance: the anti-codon, which is responsible for specific mRNA codon recognition, and the 3' end, to which the tRNAs corresponding amino acid is attached (by aminoacyl-tRNA synthetases). tRNAs cope with the degeneracy of the genetic code in two manners: having more than one tRNA (with a specific anti-codon) for a particular amino acid; and 'wobble' base-pairing, i.e. permitting non-standard base-pairing at the 3rd anti-codon position. The record is from RNAcentral. Lineage: Eukaryota; Metazoa; Arthropoda; Insecta; Coleoptera; Chrysomelidae.